AAUGAACGCUGGCGGCAGGCCUAACACAUGCAAGUCGAGCGAGCAUUUCGGUGCUAGUGGCGGACGGGUGAGUAACGCGUGGGAACGUGCCCUUUUCUGCGGAAUAGUCCUGGGAAACUGGGGGUAAUACCGCAUACGCCCUUUUGGGGAAAGAUUUAUCGGAGAAGGAUCGGCCCGCGUUGGAUUAGGUAGUUGGUGGGGUAAUGGCCCACCAAGCCGACGAUCCAUAGCUGGUUUGAGAGGAUGAUCAGCCACACUGGGACUGAGACACGGCCCAGACUCCUACGGGAGGCAGCAGUGGGGAAUCUUAGACAAUGGGGGCAACCCUGAUCUAGCCAGGCCGCGUGAGUGAUGAAGGCCUUAGGGUUGUAAAGCUCUUUAAGCUGGGAAGAUAAUGACGGUACCAGCAGAAGAAGCCCCGGCUAACUCCGUG
RNAcentral lists this ribosomal RNA (433 nucleotides) under uncultured bacterium. RNAcentral's name for it is "partial 16S ribosomal RNA". It matches the Rfam family "Bacterial small subunit ribosomal RNA", at positions 29 to 507 of the family's 1533-position model. The record is from RNAcentral.